UCAUUUGCGGCUCUGGGGACUAGGGCCGCUAAGCCAACAGGUGUUGCACGAACCCGGAUUGCAUCACAGCUUUUAGUUCGCCUAACGGAGCAGCGACGAGGAGCUACACUGAGUAACCAAAGGAGAAAAGAGCAACAAUGGGCGGCGGCAGAGGAAGAGGCAAAAGGUCUCGAACUCAAAGAAAGCACUUCCGGGAUGGCCGAGAGAACGUUUGGAAA
RNAcentral lists this unclassified non-coding RNA (218 nucleotides) under Hevea brasiliensis (rubber tree). Lineage: Eukaryota; Viridiplantae; Streptophyta; Magnoliopsida; Malpighiales; Euphorbiaceae. The record is from RNAcentral.